GCCUGAUGCAGCAACGCCGCGUGAGGGACGACGGCCUUCGGGUUGUAAACCUCUUUUAGCAGGGAAGAAGCGAAAGUGACGGUACCUGCAGAAAAAGCACCGGCUAACUACGUGCCAGCAGCCGCGGUAAUACGUAGGGUGCAAGCGUUAUCCGGAAUUAUUGGGCGUAAAGAGCUCGUAGGCGGUUUGUCGCGUCUGCUGUGAAAACCCGAGGCUCAACCUCGGGCCUGCAGUGGGUACGGGCAGACUAGAGUGCGGUAGGGGAGAUUGGAAUUCCUGGUGUAGCGGUGGAAUGCGCAGAUAUCAGGAGGAACACCGAUGGCGAAGGCAGAUCUCUGGGCCGUAACUGACGCUGAGGAGCGAAAGGGUGGGGAGCAAACAGGCUUAGAUACCCUGGUAGUCCACCCCGUAAACGUUGGGAACUAGUUGUGGGGUCCAUUCCACGGAUUCCGUGACGCAGCUAACGCAUUAAGUUCCCCGCCUGGGGAGUACGGCCGCAAGGCUAAAACUCAAAGGAAUUGACGGGGACCCGCACAAGCGGCGGAGCAUGCGGAUUAAUUCGAUGCAACGCGAAGAACCUUACCAAGGCUUGACAUAUACGAGAACGCUGCAGAAAUGUGGAACUCUUUGGACACUC
Molecule: ribosomal RNA, 637 nt
Filed under: Microbacterium sp. So2Pw_1288
Lineage: Bacteria; Bacillati; Actinomycetota; Actinomycetes; Micrococcales; Microbacteriaceae
Description: bacterial SSU rRNA
Rfam family: Bacterial small subunit ribosomal RNA
Source: RNAcentral